Molecule: ribosomal RNA, 472 nt
Filed under: uncultured bacterium
Lineage: Bacteria
Description: bacterial SSU rRNA
Rfam family: Bacterial small subunit ribosomal RNA
Source: RNAcentral
AUUGAACGCUGGCGGCAUGCCUUACACAUGCAAGUCGAACGGCAGCGGACCUUCGGGUGCCGGCGAGUGGCGAACGGGUGAGUAAUAUAUCGGAACGUACCUUUCAGUGGGGGAUAACGUAGCGAAAGUUACGCUAAUACCGCAUAUUCUGUGAGCAGGAAAGCAGGGGAUCGCAAGACCUUGCGCUGAUUGAGCGGCCGAUAUCAGAUUAGCUAGUUGGUGAGGUAAAGGCUCACCAAGGCGACGAUCUGUAGCGGGUCUGAGAGGAUGACCAGCCACACUGGGACUGAGACACGGCCCAGACUCCUACGGGAGGCAGCAGUGGGGAAUCUUGGACAAUGGGCGCAAGCCUGAUCCAGCCAUGCCGCGUGAGUGAUGAAGGCCCUAGGGUUGUAAAAACUCUUUCGUGGGGGACGAUAAUGACGGUACCCCAAGAAGAAGCUCCGGCUAACUUCGUGCCAGCAGCCGCGGU